AAAUGAAGUCUAGAGUAGCAUAGGGUCCCCACUUGUGGAGCUGGCAUUCUCAAAGUGUCCCCUGUCUUAAUGUAGGUUCACAGCAGAUGAAGCUCGGGAUCUGAUCCAGCGUUACCUGACGGAGCAUCCAGACCCCAAUAAUGAAAACAUUGUUGGCUACAAUAACAAGAAAUGCUGGCCCCGAGAUGCCCGAAUGCGCCUCAUGAAGCAUGAUGUCAACUUGGGUCGGGCAGUGUUCUGGGACAUCAAAAACCGGCUGCCACGAUCAGUGACUACAGUACAAUGGGAGAAUAGCUUUGUGUCUGUGUACAGUAAAGACAACCCCAACCUGCUGUUCAACAUGUGUGGCUUUGAGUGCCGCAUCCUGCCUAAGUGCCGUACCAGCUAUGAAGAAUUCACCCACAAGGAUGGGGUCUGGAACCUUCAGAAUGAGGUACAGUCUAGGAAGGACAUCACUUUACCACCCUUGUAACUCUGGCAUCAAUGGGGUGAAAAACAGUCACACCUUUUCAUUAUCAGCUCAGUGACCCUUAGGUGGGUUGAGCUUAGUAGUGAUCACGAUUAAUCCUUGCUUGUGUAGCCCUGGCUGGAAUUUACUUUGUAGACCAGACUGGCCCUGAUUGUCUCAGAGAUCAGCCUGCCUCUGGCUCCACCUCCCACAGGUUAGGAUUAAGGCAUGUGCCACCAUUCCCUGCUAUUCCCUUUUUAUUUUUUCUUUGAGACAGGUCUUACUGUUCAGUGAUGGCUGACCUGGAAUUUUAUAUAGACCAGAUUGGCCAUGAAUUCACCAAGAUCCUCCCUGGAAUCUGCAUUCUGGGAUUAAAUGCAUGCAUACCAUGUUAGCUUUUCAUCUUAUUUAUUGCCUUGUUAUUUUUGUGGAGUUUGGAGGACAGCUUGUAGUUAGUUCCACUCUGUGGGUUCUGGGGAUUGAACUCAGGAAAUAGGGCUUGGUAGCAAGCACGUUUGCCUGCUAUAAACCAUGUCAUCAGCCCAUCUAGAGCCUCUGAUUUUGUGGUUUAGGUUACCAAGGAGCGGACAGCGCAAUGUUUCCUGCGUGUGGACGAUGAGUCGAUGCAACGCUUCCAUAACCGAGUUCGUCAGAUUCUAAUGGCCUCUGGCUCCACCACCUUUACCAAGGUAUGUUGGGCCCUAAGGCUCCAAUUCUCUGCCAUUCUCUGUCUGUCUUUGUCCUUUUCAACUCCUGCUGUGGUUUGAGGUUGCUCUUUCCCAGCUUUGCCUAGUAUACUAAUCUCCAUGUUUUAUGGGAUGGCAGCCUAGAGUGUUGGAUCAAUUGGGCUUUAUUUCUGAGACUUCACUACAAGAAUGUAUCAGACUGCAUUGUGGGGUUUUGAGGAUUUUUAUUUUGAUGAUUUUUUUACAUUAAGACAAAAGUAAGAGUUUUUAAUUUGCACAAAAGCAUCUAAUUUUCAUUUUCCCUUAGGCUUGUUUUGGCUUUUUUUUUUUUUU
RNAcentral lists this long non-coding RNA (1467 nucleotides) under Cricetulus griseus (Chinese hamster). RNAcentral describes it as "lncRNA (ENSCGRG00000025230.1)". Lineage: Eukaryota; Metazoa; Chordata; Mammalia; Rodentia; Cricetidae. The record is from RNAcentral.